GUGCCAGCAGCCGCGGUAAUACGGAAGGUCCGAGCGUUAUCCGGAUUUAUUGGGUUUAAAGGGAGCGCAGGCGGAAUGUUAAGUCAGCUGUGAAAUCCCGUCGCUCAACGGCGGAACUGCAGUUGAUACUGGCUUUCUUGAGUGCACAUAAGGAUGGUGGAAUUCGUGGUGUAGCGGUGAAAUGCUUAGAUAUCACGAAGAACUCCGAUUGCGAAGGCAGCCAUCUGGGGUGCAACUGACGCUGAGGCUCGAAAGUGCGGGUAUCAAACAGGAUUAGAUACCCUGGUAGUCCGCACAGUAAACGAUGAAUACUCGCUGUCGGCGAUACACUGUCGGCGGCCAAGCGAAAGCAUUAAGUAUUCCACCUGGGGAGUACGCCGGCAACGGUGAAACUCAAAGGAAUUGACGGGGGCCCGCACAAGCGGAGGAACAUGUGGUUUAAUUCGAUGAUACGCGAGGAACCUUACCCGGGCUUGAACUGCACCCGACGGACAGAGAGAUUUGUCUUCCGCAAGGCGGGUGUGGAGGUGCUGCAUGGUUGUCGUCAGCUCGUGCCGUGAGGUGUCGGCUUAAGUGCCAUAACGAGCGCAACCCUUCUCUUCAGUUGCCAUCAGGCAGAGCUGGGCACUCUGGAGACACUGCCAUCGUAAGAUGCGAGGAAGGUGGGGAUGACGUCAAAUCAGCACGGCCCUUACGUCCGGGGCUACACACGUGUUACAAUGGGAGGUACAGAAGGCCGCGACCCGGCGACGGGAAGCCAAUCCCCAAAUCCUCUCUCAGUUCGGACUGGAGUCUGCAACCCGACUCCACGAAGCUGGAUUCGCUAGUAAUCGCGCAUCAGCCAUGGCGCGGUGAAUACGUUCCCGGGCCUUGUACACACCGCCCGU
Molecule: ribosomal RNA, 887 nt
Filed under: uncultured rumen bacterium
Lineage: Bacteria
Description: bacterial SSU rRNA
Rfam family: Bacterial small subunit ribosomal RNA
Source: RNAcentral